Molecule: long non-coding RNA, 920 nt
Organism: Bombina bombina (fire-bellied toad)
Lineage: Eukaryota; Metazoa; Chordata; Amphibia; Anura; Bombinatoridae
Exons: 3
Source: RefSeq, a predicted model, not a curated record
CAAAAUGGCGACCGGAGCACUCAGCAGAAGAAAUGGAGAGGAGAGGAGCUAAAUACAAUUGAAUAAAAACGGAUUAAAAUGAGCAAAGUUAACCUGCAGUCCAAGCCUGUGUAUUCUACAACAGCCAAUUCAUCCUCCAGUCCAAACCUGUGUAUUUAACUGCAAGGUCAUCUUCCACUCCAAGCCUGUGUCUUGUACAACUGCAAGGUCAUCUUCAAGUCCAAGCCUGUGUAUUCUACAAUAGCAAAGUCAUCCACCAGUCCAAACCUGUGUAUACUACAACUGCAAGGUCAUCCUCCAGUCCAAGCCUGUGUAUUCUACAACAGAAAAGUCAUCCUCCAGUCCAAACCAACUGCAAGGUCAUCUCUUGGAAGACUAUUACCCCAAAAUAUUACAGGAAUUUAACCCAGCACUAAAGAGAAUCUUCUCUUCUUUGGACGACACAGACUGCCCAGGACAGGUCUUUCUUGCGUGCCACUGUCCACUCCACAGAGACAGGUUCAGCUACAGUGCCUUCUGCACCAGCUUGCUCCAGGCUCCUCCUCCCUCUUCCAGUCUCCAGACUCAUCUCCGGUCAUGUUCCUUCAAUCCUUCAUGCUGUGAAGUAACAUGACUGCACUAGAACUAUCUGGAGGAGGAGGAGCAUGCAAAUAAUGCCAGCAUGCAUGCCAUGAUUGCACCAUCCAUGGGGGCGGGGUAAUUGGGGAUUAGAGUGGUGCACGUGCACUGCAAGAGCCGGCAUGAUGAGGCACGUGUUGUGGUGGUGUGUUGGUUCCCAACUGAACACAGCAGAGGCGUGCUGCCGCUGCGGCUGCCCAAUUACUUAGAGCUUAGCCUAAGACACCGUUAUUGACUCAUUCAUCUCAUCUCAUCAUGAUCUCUAGAAUCUCACUAAAUAAAAAUAAAGUAAAAAUUAAGAA